Molecule: ribosomal RNA, 792 nt
Filed under: uncultured bacterium
Lineage: Bacteria
Description: SSU rRNA
Rfam family: Bacterial small subunit ribosomal RNA
Source: RNAcentral
CAGAGCUUAACUCUGGAACUGCCAUCAAAACUUUUCAGCUAGAGUUUGAUAGAGGAAAGCAGAAUUUCUAGUGUAGAGGUGAAAUUCGUAGAUAUUAGAAAGAAUACCAAUUGCGAAGGCAGCUUUCUGGAUCAUUACUGACACUGAGGAACGAAAGCAUGGGUAGCGAAGAGGAUUAGAUACCCUCGUAGUCCAUGCCGUAAACGAUGUGUGUUAGACGUUGGAAAUUUAUUUUCAGUGUCGCAGCGAAAGCGAUAAACACACCGCCUGGGGAGUACGACCGCAAGGUUAAAACUCAAAUGAAUUGACGGGGACCCGCACAAGUAGUGGAGCAUGUGGUUUAAUUCGAAGAUACGCGCAGAACCUUACCAACACUUGACAUGUUCGUCGCGACUUUAAGAGAUUAAAGUUUUCGGUUCGGCCGGACGAAACACAGGUGCUGCAUGGCUGUCGUCAGCUCGUGUCGUGAGAUGUUGGGUUAAGUCCCGCAACGAGCGCAACCCUCACUUUUAGUUGCCAUCAUUAAGUUGGGCACUCUGAAAGAACUGCCAGUGAUAAGCUGGAGGAAGGUGGGGAUGACGUCAAGUCCUCAUGGCCCUUACGUGUUGGGCUACACACGUGCUACAAUGGUAUCUACAACAGGAAGCAAAACAGCGAUGUUAAGCAAAUCCUUAAAAGAUACCUCAGUUCGGAUUGCACUCUGCAACUCGAGUGCAUGAAGCUGGAAUUACUAGUAAUCGUGGAUCAGCGUGCCACGGUGAAUGCGUUCCCGCGCCUUGCACACACCGCCCG